Molecule: ribosomal RNA, 253 nt
Filed under: uncultured bacterium
Lineage: Bacteria
Description: partial 16S ribosomal RNA
Rfam family: Bacterial small subunit ribosomal RNA
Source: RNAcentral
UACGGAGGAUGCAAGCGUUAUCCGGAAUUAUUGGGCGUAAAGCGUCCGCAGGUGGUUAUCCAAGUCUGCUGUUAAAGCGCGAGGCUUAACUUCGUACAGGCAGUGGAGACUGGGUGACUGGAGUAUGGUAGGGGUAGCGGGAAUUCCCAGUGUAGCGGUGAAAUGCGUAGAUAUUGGGAAGAACACCAGCGGCGAAAGCGCGCUACUGGGCCAUUACUGACACUCAUGGACGAAAGCUAGGGGAGCGAAAGGG